GUAAUACUCCAUAGUUCGUUAUUACUGGAAUGUUUUUCGAACGAAAGAUCCGUCGCUUCAGGAUGAGUCUGCGGCCGAUUAGGUAGUUGUUGGGGUAAUUGCCCAACAAGCCUGUAAUCGGUACGGGUUGUGGGAGCAAGAGCCCGGAGAUGGAUUCUGAGACACGAAUCCAGGCCCUACGGGGCGCAGCAGGCGCGAAAACUUUACCAUGCGGGCAACCGUGAUAAGGAAACCCCGAGUGCCAGCACAGGCUGGCUGUCCGCCAGUUUAAACAACUGGCGAAGAAAGGGCCGGGCAAGACCGGUGCCAGCCGCCGCGGUAAUACCGGCGGCUCGAGUGGUGGCCGCUAUUACUGGGCUUAAAGGGUCCGUAGCUUGAUAAUAGGGUCCCUUGAGAAAUCCGCCGGCUUAACUGGCGGGCGUUCAGGGGAAACUUGUUUUCUAGGGACCGGGAGAGGUGAGGGGUACUGCCGGGGUAGGAGUGAAAUCCUGUAAUCCCGGUGGGACCACCUAUGGCGAAGGCAUCUCACCAGAACGGGUCCGACAGUGAGGGACGAAAGCUGGGGGAGCAAACCGGAUUAGAUACCCGGGUAGUCCCAGCUGUAACUAUGUGCGUUAGGUGU
Molecule: ribosomal RNA, 622 nt
Filed under: uncultured archaeon
Lineage: Archaea
Description: bacterial SSU rRNA
Rfam family: Archaeal small subunit ribosomal RNA
Source: RNAcentral